RNAcentral lists this ribosomal RNA (497 nucleotides) under uncultured bacterium. RNAcentral's name for it is "partial 16S ribosomal RNA". It matches the Rfam family "Bacterial small subunit ribosomal RNA", at positions 28 to 507 of the family's 1533-position model. The record is from RNAcentral.
GAUGAACGCUGGCGGCGUGCCUAAUACAUGCAAGUCGAGCGAACAGAUGAUGAGCUUGCUCCUCUGACGUUAGCGGCGGACGUGUGAGUAACACGUGUAUAACCUACCUAUAAGACUGGGAUAACUUCGGGAAACCGGAGCUAAUACCGUAUAAUAUAUUGAACCGCAUUGUUCAAUAGUGAAAUACGGUUUUGCUGUCACUUAUAGAUGGAUCCGCGCCGCAUUAGCUAGUUGGUAAGGUAACGGCUUACUAAGGCAACGAUGCGUAGCCGACCUGAGAGGGUGAUCGGCCACACUGGAACUGAGACACGGUCAAGACUACUACGGGAGGCAGCAGUAGGGAAUCUUCCGCAAUGGGCGAAAGCCUGACGGAGCAACGCCGCGUGAGUGAUGGAGGUCUUCGGAUCGUAAAACUCUGUUAUUAGGGAAGAACAAAUGUGUAAGUAAAUAUGCACGUAUUGACGGUACCUAAUCAGAAAGCAACGGCUAACUACGUG